UCUCUCGUUCUUCAGAGAAAUCGAAAUCAGAAAUCCAAAUCCAAAUCUCACCAUUUUGUUCUCUUAGAUCAUUUCGAUAAGCUUUUUUCUGUCCUGCAUGGGGAUUCGAAUGGAUUAAUGGUGUGGAAGACCAGCUAUUUUGGACGAAAAUCUCUCUCACGGAAUAUCAGAUAAGUUUCGAGAAUCUCUUAAAUUCUGUAGAUGAAUCGGUUAAUUAUGCUUGAUGAAUCGUUUUAUUUGUGGAAGCUCUUCGAAUUUGUUUUCGAUUAGUUAGGGUUUCCCGUGAUGUAAUCUCUUAAAUUUCUAGUGAUGAAUCGGUUAAAUCCACUUGAUGAAUGAGUUGUGCUCAUCGAAUUUGUUUGCCAUGAGUUAGGGUUUCUCGUGAAGGAAUAGAUCUAUAUUAAUUGUGUGAUGUGCUUAGAUGAGUCGACCAAUUGAUUAUUGUCUGUGAUGUUGUGAAUUCAGCGAGAAGGGUGAAUCUGCAUUCAGUUGAUCAAUAUCAAGCUCGACACAAGGGUUGUUGAUCAAGACAAAUACACAUGGCUCUUGGUGACGAUUCAAAAGGGUCUAUAGGAUAUACAGUGUCGAAAUCCUUCAUGGCAAUGGAACGUGAACCCUGGUUCUUGUGAAGAUUUUGUUGCCAAGCUGAUUGAACUUUUGGGAAGUCCAAAAGAAGCUUCGGUGAAGGAGGUGCAGGACAUGACGGUCCGUGUUUUAUCCAAGACCCCACCCGCCGCUGCCGAGAACAGAAGAAAACAAGCUAACAAGGAGUUUAGUUCCAGCACAAACGUUACCACACUCGGCAUAUUCUUACUCUCAAGGUUAGUUCGAUUGAUAAUAAUGAUUAUACAUGAACAAAAUUACUAUUUUUUUCGAAAUCACUUUGUUUGAAUGCGUUUUGUAUGUUUUUGUCUCUUAUGCCCAGUGUUCGGAUAUUUACGUGGUUAGUAGAGACUGAGUUUCGGAUAUCUUGUUUCUCUUGGAUAUUGGUUUUGGUUCCUUUAUUUUAUUUAUGGGCAAAGACAGGUGAAAAAGGAACAAGAAUA
Long non-coding RNA from Eutrema salsugineum, 1046 nucleotides. RefSeq lists it as uncharacterized. Lineage: Eukaryota; Viridiplantae; Streptophyta; Magnoliopsida; Brassicales; Brassicaceae. The transcript has 3 exons. The record is from RefSeq and is a predicted model, not a curated record.